UAGAAAGUAAUAGUCAAACUCAAAAGAUAUUGAAAGAUUAUAUGCUAGACUUGUAGGAUGGUGAUAUUGUAGUGGUUAUAGAUAUAAAAGUGACUUUCUACAUGUUUAAAGCUAUAACCAAUGUAAAAAGUAACCUACAUUCACAAUCACCAUAAUGUGUGGUCAUUUUACAAGUUUGACACAUAAUCUUUUAUUAUCUUUUGAAUUUGACUAUUAGUUUCUA
RNAcentral lists this microRNA precursor (223 nucleotides) under Glycine max (soybean). RNAcentral's name for it is "miR4348b stem-loop (gma-MIR4348b)". Lineage: Eukaryota; Viridiplantae; Streptophyta; Magnoliopsida; Fabales; Fabaceae. The record is from miRBase by way of RNAcentral.